Long non-coding RNA from Anguilla rostrata (American eel), 2125 nucleotides. RefSeq lists it as uncharacterized. The record is from RefSeq and is a predicted model, not a curated record. The transcript has 2 exons. Lineage: Eukaryota; Metazoa; Chordata; Actinopteri; Anguilliformes; Anguillidae.
CCAUCUAUGCUGAGCGCUUUGUCCUACGUGGAGUCGUUACACACAGGGAAGGCUCCGCCUCACUACCCUCGAUUUACCUGAGCCAGGUGAGCUUGUUGCCACAGGUGCCGACUCAAGAUGCAGAGUGGUGCGGGGGAGGGGGGGGGUGUUCUUGGGGAGGGUCAGUUCCAGUCAGCUGACCUGCACUGCCCCUCCCUCCAAAACCCACAGGCACGCUCCAUAUGAAAUCUCCUGUACGCUCAGAACUUCGGCACCGCCCCCUGUGCCUCGCAGCGAAUCAACGUGGAGCAGGCAGAUUCGACGGCUGUCCGUCACACUGGAACUGCCCCCUGCUCUCUGUGGCGGGACCCUCGCAGCUGGCGUUACCACGGGAGACAGUGGGGAGCGGAAUGUGGUCUGCUUAUUGUACAGGAACUUUUUGUGUCCAACAUUAUCAACUUAUGAGUGAAUGUCUUCAAAAUCACCAACUUAUUAUGAAGGUCAUAAGGGAGGAACAGUUCAGCACGCAGAUUUCAGCUAUAUAGUGGACACAUGGCCAGUUUAUGGACCAUAUUUACGGCACUGGACAGUUAACUUUUACAAUUUAUUUAAUCUACAUACAUCCACUGUUCUGAGUUUCCUCCCCCCCCCCCAAUUUAAAGUGCCUUUGCACCUGUACAGUUAAAAUUACUUCACUAUUCUAUGUAAGGUUGGUCAUUAUUAGUAUGUACAGAAAGGAAAGGGGGACUGAGUGGAUUUCUACUGAUUUUAAUAUCCUGCUUUUAUUUUAGGAUCCUGUUUGUGAAUUAUGUAACUGUACAUAGGUCAGCAGGCUGGAUUAACAUGUAUAUGCAUGUAUAUUUGCCUGACUGUAUGCUGUACAGAACAAAUGUGAAAUUAAUAUUUAUAUAUUACCUCUGGAAUGUGUGAGCUGUGUGUAUGUGUGUGUAUGUGCAUGUGUGUGUGUAAUUCUCACACUAAUUCACUUGCUUACCUGAUUCAUGAAAUUACUUUUGUGUAUUCCCAAACACCUGCACAAAAAUUGAUCGAUGUAAUCUUUCACAGAAGUUUUGUUAUGUUCUCCAAUAUGUCAGUAAGCAAAGAGGUGUUGCACACUGUGGGUUUUUCUCUGUUGCCUGUUUUGAAUGUCAUUUCUACAGGGUGUCACUGGCACGUUCAGCAAGUUGAGUUUUUCCACGUAGAAUGGGGAAUGUACCCCCUCAGAAAUGGAUGGGAGUUCACUUUGUACGUCUUGUUGAGGCUUGUAUGUGAAUUGGGAGAUCUGGUACACAGCUAUUGGUCUGUUAGUUUAGGGUUAGCACUAAAUGCACUUAUCAAGGUUAGGAUUGCAACCGAUGCAUGUGUUGCUGAGUUGUCGGUGAUGGGACACGGGGUGUGUGUGUGUGUGUGUGUGUGUGUGUGUGUGUGUGUGUGUGUGUGUGUGUGUGUGUGUGUGUGUGUGUGUGUGUGUGUGUGUGUGUGUGUGUGUGUGUGUGUGUGUGUGUGUGUGUGUGUGUGUGUGUGUGUGUGUGUGUGUGCGUGUGCGCGUGCAUGUGUGUGCAUGGGCGCUCAGACGCAAGCUGUGAACUCAAACAAUGUUAUACCUGGGAGAUGUGAAAAAACUUUUUUUUUUCUUUCUUCUUUUAAUGGGUUCAUUUUACUGGUGUUCAGCUGGGAGGGUUCGGCUGCUGUGGUCCCACAGUUUUUUUAGUCCUCGUUUUAAAAUUUGUUGUUUCUGAUUUAAACGCUUUUUUAAAUUGGUCUAUCAAAGAAACAAAAAGUGUCCUGAGGGAAAUGUUGGGAGAAGGGGAAAAAAAUGAGUGUGAGGGAAGUCUGUGUUCCGGCUGUUUUCUGUGAACUGUUGACCGCAGCUGGCCGUAGGGUGGAGGUCGGGUGGGUGUCCUCACUCAACUGUGGUUGUACUGCAGGGACAGGAAGUGACAUCAUCUGCUUGGUCACUCAGAGAAGCUGCAGUGGAGUAGUGUGUGUGCGAUGUGUACUGUGCAGAUGCUCCUCUGAUGUGCAUUACUGUGAAAAGCAGUGUCUGUUUAUUCUGACGUGCUCCUGUCCUGUCCCUCUCUCUCUGUGGUGAUGGGUGUCCAGUAUGUCAGUUUUAUAAUAAUAAAGUAAUUGGAAACAAGCUAAA